This 1471-nucleotide ribosomal RNA is filed under the name Lacticaseibacillus casei. RNAcentral describes it as "Lactobacillus casei 16S ribosomal RNA". It matches the Rfam family "Bacterial small subunit ribosomal RNA". The record is from RNAcentral. Lineage: Bacteria; Bacillati; Bacillota; Bacilli; Lactobacillales; Lactobacillaceae.
GCUGGCGGCGUGCCUAAUACAUGCAAGUCGAACGAGUUCUCGUUGAUGAUCGGUGCUUGCACCGAGAUUCAACAUGGAACGAGUGGCGGACGGGUGAGUAACACGUGGGUAACCUGCCCUUAAGUGGGGGAUAACAUUUGGAAACAGAUGCUAAUACCGCAUAGAUCCAAGAACCGCAUGGUUCUUGGCUGAAAGAUGGCGUAAGCUAUCGCUUUUGGAUGGACCCGCGGCGUAUUAGCUAGUUGGUGAGGUAAUGGCUCACCAAGGCGAUGAUACGUAGCCGAACUGAGAGGUUGAUCGGCCACAUUGGGACUGAGACACGGCCCAAACUCCUACGGGAGGCAGCAGUAGGGAAUCUUCCACAAUGGACGCAAGUCUGAUGGAGCAACGCCGCGUGAGUGAAGAAGGCUUUCGGGUCGUAAAACUCUGUUGUUGGAGAAGAAUGGUCGGCAGAGUAACUGUUGUCGGCGUGACGGUAUCCAACCAGAAAGCCACGGCUAACUACGUGCCAGCAGCCGCGGUAAUACGUAGGUGGCAAGCGUUAUCCGGAUUUAUUGGGCGUAAAGCGAGCGCAGGCGGUUUUUUAAGUCUGAUGUGAAAGCCCUCGGCUUAACCGAGGAAGCGCAUCGGAAACUGGGAAACUUGAGUGCAGAAGAGGACAGUGGAACUCCAUGUGUAGCGGUGAAAUGCGUAGAUAUAUGGAAGAACACCAGUGGCGAAGGCGGCUGUCUGGUCUGUAACUGACGCUGAGGCUCGAAAGCAUGGGUAGCGAACAGGAUUAGAUACCCUGGUAGUCCAUGCCGUAAACGAUGAAUGCUAGGUGUUGGAGGGUUUCCGCCCUUCAGUGCCGCAGCUAACGCAUUAAGCAUUCCGCCUGGGGAGUACGACCGCAAGGUUGAAACUCAAAGGAAUUGACGGGGGCCCGCACAAGCGGUGGAGCAUGUGGUUUAAUUCGAAGCAACGCGAAGAACCUUACCAGGUCUUGACAUCUUUUGAUCACCUGAGAGAUCAGGUUUCCCCUUCGGGGGCAAAAUGACAGGUGGUGCAUGGUUGUCGUCAGCUCGUGUCGUGAGAUGUUGGGUUAAGUCCCGCAACGAGCGCAACCCUUAUGACUAGUUGCCAGCAUUUAGUUGGGCACUCUAGUAAGACUGCCGGUGACAAACCGGAGGAAGGUGGGGAUGACGUCAAAUCAUCAUGCCCCUUAUGACCUGGGCUACACACGUGCUACAAUGGAUGGUACAACGAGUUGCGAGACCGCGAGGUCAAGCUAAUCUCUUAAAGCCAUUCUCAGUUCGGACUGUAGGCUGCAACUCGCCUACACGAAGUCGGAAUCGCUAGUAAUCGCGGAUCAGCACGCCGCGGUGAAUACGUUCCCGGGCCUUGUACACACCGCCCGUCACACCAUGAGAGUUUGUAACACCCGAAGCCGGUGGCGUAACCCUUUUAGGGAGCGAGCCGUCUAAGGUGGGAC